Molecule: ribosomal RNA, 254 nt
Filed under: uncultured bacterium
Lineage: Bacteria
Description: partial 16S ribosomal RNA
Rfam family: Bacterial small subunit ribosomal RNA
Source: RNAcentral
GACGAACCGUGCGAACGUUGUUCGGAAUCACUGGGCUUAAAGGGCGCGUAGGCGGGUUCCCAAGUCUGUGGUGAAAGCCUCCAGCUUAACUGGAGAAGUGCCGUGGAUACUGGGAGUCUCGAGGAGGGUAGGGGCAUCUGGAACUGCCGGUGGAGCGGUGAAAUGCGUUGAUAUCGGCAGGAACUCCGAUGGCGAAAGCAAGGUGCUGGACCCUUUCUGACGCUGAGUGCGCGAAAGCCAGGGGAGCAAACGGG